CCUACGGGGGGCAGCAGUGAGGAAUAUUGGUCAAUGGACGAGAGUCUGAACCAGCCAAGUAGCGUGAAGGAUGACUGCCCUAUGGGUUGUAAACUUCUUUUAUAUGGGAAUAAAACGUUCCACGUGUGGGAUUUUGUAUGUACCAUAUGAAUAAGGAUCGGCUAACUCCGUGCCAGCAGCCGCGGUAAUACGGAGGAUCCGAGCGUUAUCCGGAUUUAUUGGGUUUAAAGGGAGCGUAGGUGGAUGGUUAAGUCAGUUGUGAAAGUUUGCGGCUCAACCGUAAAAUUGCAGUUGAAACUGGCAGUCUUGAGUACAGUAGAGGUGAGCGGAAUUCGUGGUGUAGCGGUGAAAUGCUUAGAUAUCACGAAGAACUCCGAUUGCGAAGGCAGUUCACUGGACUGCAACUGACACUGAGGCUCGAAAGUGUGGGUAUCAAACAGGAUUAGAUACCCGUGUAGUC
RNAcentral lists this ribosomal RNA (460 nucleotides) under uncultured bacterium. RNAcentral describes it as "partial 16S ribosomal RNA". It matches the Rfam family "Bacterial small subunit ribosomal RNA", at positions 338 to 795 of the family's 1533-position model. The record is from RNAcentral.